This 21-nucleotide ribosomal RNA is filed under the name Anopheles sineroides. RNAcentral describes it as "partial 28S ribosomal RNA". The record is from RNAcentral. Lineage: Eukaryota; Metazoa; Arthropoda; Insecta; Diptera; Culicidae.
GUUAUGUGUGACAACCCCUUU